UGGGGAAUAUUGCACAAUGGGCGCAAGCCUGAUGCAGCCAUGCCGCGUGUGUGAAGAAGGCCUUCGGGUUGUAAAGCACUUUCAGCGAGGAGGAAGGUGGUGGACUUAAUACGUUCAUCAAUUGACGUUACUCGCAGAAGAAGCACCGGCUAACUCCGUGCCAGCAGCCGCGGUAAUACGGAGGGUGCAAGCGUUAAUCGGAAUUACUGGGCGUAAAGCGCACGCAGGCGGUUUGUUAAGUCAGAUGUGAAAUCCCCGGGCUCAACCUGGGAACUGCAUUUGAAACUGGCAAGCUAGAGUCUCGUAGAGGGGGGUAGAAUUCCAGGUGUAGCGGUGAAAUGCGUAGAGAUCUGGAGGAAUACCGGUGGCGAAGGCGGCCCCCUGGACGAAGACUGACGCUCAGGUGCGAAAGCGUGGGGCAGCAAACAGGAUUAGAUACCCUGGUAGUCCACGCUGUAAACGAUGUCGAUUUUGGAGGUUGUGCCCUUGAGGCGUGGCUUCCGGAGCUAACGCGUUAAAUCGACCGCCUGGGGAGUA
RNAcentral lists this ribosomal RNA (537 nucleotides) under uncultured bacterium. RNAcentral describes it as "partial 16S ribosomal RNA". It matches the Rfam family "Bacterial small subunit ribosomal RNA", at positions 355 to 882 of the family's 1533-position model. The record is from RNAcentral.